This 1037-nucleotide long non-coding RNA is filed under the name Sorghum bicolor (sorghum). RNAcentral's name for it is "long non-coding RNA (SBIC_LNC005150)". Lineage: Eukaryota; Viridiplantae; Streptophyta; Magnoliopsida; Poales; Poaceae. The record is from RNAcentral.
GAGGCCAACAGUCACGCGAAGCCACUUUGAGAAUCCAUUUCGAGGGGACCUUUCACGUUGCCUUCCCUCAGAAACUCUAUUUCAUUUGCAUACCUAUCUAGCAGGGCUGUUGCUAGUAUAAAUACCCCCUAAGACUCAGUGCAAUCUAGGACUUUGGAUAAUUGAAAUACAGAACUCCUUUGUUCAGCUGCGUGCUAACAAAUUCAGAGAGUGAUCUAUACCCCUUUGCUCUUAUGAUUUCCUCACGGGAUUACAUAGGUGGCGGCUUCAUCCGCUCCCAAUUGGUGCUCCUACUCCCUUCAAGGUAUUCCUUGAUUGAUUGGAGGUAGUGUUGGUUGGUUCUUUGAGAGUGUGGUUGGGCGAAUCCUCGAUACAGGUUGCCGGUUAAAGACGGUGGUUGGCUUCGAGUUUUAUUUGCCAGGUUGCACUAGUUAUCGCUGCUUGCAGCAAGUUAUCCGGUUGUUCUUCAGCUAGUUAUCGGUGUUCUUCCUACAUCGUGAAGAUCAGGACAACGUGCCGCAUCAGACAUGGGCUAUCUUUAUUAUUCUCUCUCUCUCUCUUUUCUUUUUUCUUAAUUUUUUUCACAGGGAGGCGGGCAUCUAGUACCCAUUGUUUUAAUUAUUUGGACACUUGUCCGUCUUUUACUCCCUUUUAUUCUUUUAUAUUUUUGCAUAGCCACAUGUAUCCUUUGAAUACAAUAAAUGAUUAGAGAGGUAAGAACUUAGAUCAUUAAAGACAAGGGUUAUCCUAUGGGGUUUUUGUUGGCAUUUACUCUAAGUGUAGGAAUAAUGCAUAUAUGAACUGGAGUGUGUAUGUGAUCUUGAUCUAGAAAGCAUGACAAGACUCUCAUAAGGUAUACGACAAAGGUUGACUAAACUCAAUGCAGAGCAAGCAACAUAAAUGUGUAAAUGUCUUCCUAACUAAAUGUGUAUUAUAUCUAGCUUUGGUAGGAAUUAACACUUUGUCAUACAAGAGCUCAUCAUGUAGGUUUUUAGGUUUUCAAAAUAAAUCUCUAGAACUUAGUGAUGCUAGGAAUA